CUAAACAUUGUAGCUGGUUGAGAUAACAGAGAGAGUAACAUUAACACUACAGGUGUGCUUCCGCUCCACUACAUCCCUGCUGCAGCCAUUUUAAUCUGGAUCAAAGGUGAAUGUAUCAUUCUGUUCCAGGCAGGUGUUUCCCGGAGUGGUUUGUGUCUGAUGCUCCAGCCCCUGUUCCUGGUCUAACUCAAGCUUGACUAUGUCAAUCCACGCUGCCUUCUGCACCAUGCAGUGAAAGCUGCUGGCUUGCUACCCAGAUAACUUAAGUUUCUCUGUCUCUGUCAGUUCUUACACAUCCUAACUGCUGUGUCUGUUUAGUCUGUAGAGAAAGUAAAGUGUGACUCCUGACUGGGUUUUUAUUACUUUGGAUCUGCAGCAUGA
RNAcentral lists this long non-coding RNA (381 nucleotides) under Salmo salar (Atlantic salmon). Its description in RNAcentral is "lncRNA (ENSSSAG00000087228.1, ENSSSAG00000110563.1)". The record is from RNAcentral. Lineage: Eukaryota; Metazoa; Chordata; Actinopteri; Salmoniformes; Salmonidae.